AGUGGGGAAUCUUCCGCAAUGGACGAAAGUCUGACGGAGCAACGCCGCGUGAGUGAUGACGGCCUUCGGGUUGUAAAGCUCUGUUAAUCGGGACGAAAGGCCUUCUUGCGAAUAGUGAGAAGGAUUGACGGUACCGGAAUAGAAAGCCACGGCUAACUACGUGCCAGCAGCCGCGGUAAUACGUAGGUGGCAAGCGUUGUCCGGAAUUAUUGGGCGUAAAGCGCGCGCAGGCGGAUAGGUCAGUCUGUCUUAAAAGUUCGGGGCUUAACCCCGUGAUGGGAUGGAAACUGCCAAUCUAGAGUAUCGGAGAGGAAAGUGGAAUUCCUAGUGUAGCGGUGAAAUGCGUAGAUAUUAGGAAGAACACCAGUGGCGAAGGCGACUUUCUGGACGAAAACUGACGCUGAGGCGCGAAAGCCAGGGGAGCGAACGGGAUUA
RNAcentral lists this ribosomal RNA (435 nucleotides) under Klebsiella pneumoniae. Its description in RNAcentral is "bacterial SSU rRNA". It matches the Rfam family "Bacterial small subunit ribosomal RNA", at positions 353 to 780 of the family's 1533-position model. The record is from RNAcentral. Lineage: Bacteria; Pseudomonadati; Pseudomonadota; Gammaproteobacteria; Enterobacterales; Enterobacteriaceae.